GACGAACGCUGGCGGCGUGCUUAACACAUGCAAGUCGAACGGAAAGGCCCUGCUUUUGUGGGGUGCUCGAGUGGCGAACGGGUGAGUAACACGUGAGUAACCUGCCCUUGACUUUGGGAUAACUUCAGGAAACUGGGGCUAAUACCGGAUAGGAGCUCCUGCUGCAUGGUGGGGGUUGGAAAGUUUCGGCGGUUGGGGAUGGACUCGCGGCUUAUCAGCUUGUUGGUGGGGUAGUGGCUUACCAAGGCUUUGACGGGUAGCCGGCCUGAGAGGGUGACCGGCCACAUUGGGCCUGAGAUACGGCCCAGACGCCUACGGGACGCAGCAGUGGGGAAUAUUGCACAAUGGGCGGACGCCUGAUGCAGCAACGCCGCGUGCGGGAUGACGGCCUUCGGGUUGUAAACCGCUUUCGCCUGUGACGAAGCGUGAGUGACGGUAAUGGGUAAAGAAGCACCGGCUAACUACGUG
RNAcentral lists this ribosomal RNA (468 nucleotides) under uncultured bacterium. RNAcentral describes it as "partial 16S ribosomal RNA". It matches the Rfam family "Bacterial small subunit ribosomal RNA", at positions 28 to 507 of the family's 1533-position model. The record is from RNAcentral.